Molecule: long non-coding RNA, 843 nt
Organism: Clupea harengus (Atlantic herring)
Lineage: Eukaryota; Metazoa; Chordata; Actinopteri; Clupeiformes; Clupeidae
Exons: 3
Source: RefSeq, a predicted model, not a curated record
AACUUCGUCGUCAUAGGACAGAUACGAGCGCCAUACUGUUGAGGUCAAAUUGGUUUGUACUAAAUGCCCAGCAAAGAAAAUAAUGUGAAUGCGUUUUACAUUUCGAGCGAUGACACCCAGUGCAAGCCAUAUCUCUCAGGAAGGGGCAGUACUGAAUCUGUCAGUCUUGACCUCUGAAGGGGAUGUAAUCCAAAUACUGAUUGCCGAGGACCGUGAAUGUGCAGAGCUCUUACACUUCCGCUUGUCUGAAACAUUCCCUGUAUUUUACGCUUCCUGAAAUAACCAACCAGUGGCCUGCAGAGAGUUCAGACUUGAAGAUCUCCAAAUCAGUCAUCAGACCAUCGCAUGACAAGAUAGCUCUGGAAAUACAUUUUACACAUACGAUGCUGUCCCAUUACCUUCACAUGGCCAAAUACUGUUUCCUGCUUGCCAUCCUUAUCCUCCUUGGCCUGACUGUCAUGAUCCUCCUGCUCUUCUGGAGCUAUCAGUGCCUGUUUGUCACACACAUCUGUCAGGGCCAGGAGGACAGCUCAGUGUUCCCAGUGUUUGACUUCUUCAAGGGCAGUGCAACAGCAGAUGGAAUGAGUUGAUGGACAUGGAGUGUAAUCAGCCAUUCCUUUGCUUCAGGGCUUUGGAUAUCAUGCCAUUUUAUUUUGAGGCAUUAAUGGGGUGGUACUUAGCCAGUUAAAUUCCCUCUGGACUGAUUAAAGUGUGUUUCUUUUCUUAACUGUGGAAGUAAAUUUACAAAUUGUAGAGAAUAUCUACUCAUUCUUCUUCUAUCUCAUGUAUCUCUUGAAAACAUACACAAGAGCAAUUGCAAAUAAAACGAUCUGUAUCAUUGAA